ACGCUGGCGGCGUGCCUAAUACAUGCAAGUCGAACGCUUCUUUUUCCACCGGAGCUCGCUCCACCGGAAAAAGAGGAGUGGCGAACGGGUGAGUAACACGUGGGUAACCUGCCGAUCAGAAGGGGAUAACACUUGGAAACAGGUGCUAAUACCGUAUAACAAUCGAAACCGCAUGGUUUUGAUUUGAAAGGCGCUUUCGGGUGUCGCUGAUGGAUGGACCCGCGGUGCAUUAGCUAGUUGGUGAGGUAACGGCUCACCAAGGCCACGAUGCAUAGCCGACCUGAGAGGGUGAUCGGCCACAUUGGGACUGAGACACGGCCCAAACUCCUACGGGAGGCAGCAGUAGGGAAUCUUCGGCAAUGGACGAAAGUCUGACCGAGCAACGCCGCGUGAGUGAAGAAGGUUUUCGGAUCGUAAAACUCUGUUGUUAGAGAAGAACAAGGAUGAGAGUAACUGUUCAUUCCUUGACGGUAUCUAAC
RNAcentral lists this ribosomal RNA (479 nucleotides) under uncultured Enterococcus sp. RNAcentral's name for it is "bacterial SSU rRNA". It matches the Rfam family "Bacterial small subunit ribosomal RNA", at positions 33 to 483 of the family's 1533-position model. The record is from RNAcentral. Lineage: Bacteria; Bacillati; Bacillota; Bacilli; Lactobacillales; Enterococcaceae.